AUUGAACGCUGGCGGCAGGCCUAACACAUGCAAGUCGAACGGUAACAGGAAGCAGCUUGCUGCUUCGCUGACGAGUGGCGGACGGGUGAGUAAUGUCUGGGAAGCUGCCUGAUGGAGGGGGAUAACUACUGGAAACGGUAGCUAAUACCGCAUAAUGUCGCAAGACCAAAGAGGGGGACCUUCGGGCCUCUUGCCAUCGGAUGUGCCCAGAUGGGAUUAGCUUGUUGGUGGGGUAACGGCUCACCAAGGCGACGAUCCCUAGCUGGUCUGAGAGGAUGACCAGCCACACUGGAACUGAGACACGGUCCAGACUCCUACGGGAGGCAGCAGUGGGGAAUAUUGCACAAUGGGCGCAAGCCUGAUGCAGCCAUGCCGCGUGUAUGAAGAAGGCCUUCGGGUUGUAAAGUACUUUCAGCGGGGAGGAAGGGAGUAAAGUUAAUACCUUUGCUCAUUGACGUUACCCGCAGAAGAAGCACCAGCUAACUCCGUG
Molecule: ribosomal RNA, 490 nt
Filed under: uncultured bacterium
Lineage: Bacteria
Description: partial 16S ribosomal RNA
Rfam family: Bacterial small subunit ribosomal RNA
Source: RNAcentral